This 654-nucleotide ribosomal RNA is filed under the name uncultured Lachnospiraceae bacterium. RNAcentral describes it as "bacterial SSU rRNA". It matches the Rfam family "Bacterial small subunit ribosomal RNA", at positions 71 to 744 of the family's 1533-position model. Lineage: Bacteria; Bacillati; Bacillota; Clostridia; Lachnospirales; Lachnospiraceae. The record is from RNAcentral.
CUUCGGAUGAUUGAUUGGUGACUGAGUGGCGGACGGGUGAUAACGCGUGGGUAACCUGCCCUGUACAGGGGAUAACAGUUGGAAACGGCUGCUAAUACCGCAUAAGCGCACGAGAGGACAUCCUCUUGUGUGAAAAACUCCGGUGGUACAGGAUGGGCCCGCGUCUGAUUAGCUGGUUGGCAGGGUAACGGCCUACCAAGGCGACGAUCAGUAGCCGGUCUGAGAGGAUGAACGGCCACAUUGGAACUGAGACACGGUCCAAACUCCUACGGGAGGCAGCAGUGGGGAAUAUUGCACAAUGGGGGAAACCCUGAUGCAGCAAUGCCGCGUGAGUGAAGAAGUAUUUCGGUAUGUAAAGCUCUAUCAGCAGGGAAGAUAAUGACGGUACCUGACUAAGAAGCUCCGGCUAAAUACGUGCCAGCAGCCGCGGUAAUACGUAUGGAGCAAGCGUUAUCCGGAUUUACUGGGUGUAAAGGGUGCGUAGGUGGCAGUGCAAGUCAGAUGUGAAAGGCCGGGGCUCAACCCCGGAGCUGCAUUUGAAACUGCAUAGCUAGAGUACAGGAGAGGCAGGCGGAAUUCCUAGUGUAGCGGUGAAAUGCGUAGAUAUUAGGAGGAACACCAGUGGCGAAGGCGGCCUGCUGGACUGUUACUGAC